This 76-nucleotide transfer RNA is filed under the name Qipengyuania marisflavi. RNAcentral's name for it is "Erythrobacter sp. KEM-5 tRNA-Trp". It matches the Rfam family "tRNA". Rfam says of the family: Transfer RNA (tRNA) molecules are approximately 80 nucleotides in length. Their secondary structure includes four short double-helical elements and three loops (D, anti-codon, and T loops). The record is from RNAcentral. Lineage: Bacteria; Pseudomonadati; Pseudomonadota; Alphaproteobacteria; Sphingomonadales; Erythrobacteraceae.
AGGGGUGUAGCUCAGUUGGUAGAGCAUCGGUCUCCAAAACCGAGGGCCCGCGGUUCGAGUCCGCGCGCCCCUGCCA